UGGGAUAACUGCCUGGCACUCACCAAGCUACACUUGAGGAGAAUCAAUCCAUAUCAUCAUGUCCCCAAUUUUAUAGCACCAAGUAUUUUGUUUAUUCACAAAUGCCCUAUUGUGGACAUCUAACAAACAAUGAUACAUCAAAAAAGGAGAUGUGCAUAAAUUUUCAUGGAAUAAAGUAUAAAGCCCAACUCUCAAUACAUAUUAAUCAUAACGGGGGUCUAGGAAAUAUUCUGAACUAAAUGGGAAUGCAGAAUGUGUCAGGCCUCUGAGCCCAAGCUAAGCCAUCAUAUCCCCUGUGACCUGCAGGUACACAUCCAGAUGGCCAGUUCCUGCCUUAACUGAUGACAUUCCACCACAAAAGAAAUGAAAAUGGCCUGUUCCUACCUUAACUGAUGGCAUUAUCUUGUGAAAUUCCUUCUCCUGGCUCAUCCUGGCUCAAAAGCUCACCUACUGAGCACCUUGUGACCCCCACUCCUGCCUGCCAGAGAACAACCCCCCUUUUUCCUUUACCUACCCAAAUCCUAUAAAACGGCCCCACCCCUAUCUCCCUUCGCUCUCUUUUUGGACUCAGCCCACCUGCACCCAGGUGAUUAAAAGCUUUAUUGCUCACACAAAGCCUGUUUGGUUGUCUCUUCACAGGGACGCGCAUGAAAGAAUGUACCACAGAAAAUAAGACACAUCAAUGAGGGCAGAACAGAAUUGAGUUUUGGGGAAGGUGUCUUGAGUUAAAGAUGGUGAUGAAAAUAAUGAGUCAUUGACAGAGAAGGAAACAUCCUAAUUUACAGUCAUUAAGGACCGCCAUGAAAUUCCACCCCAUGAAAAUCUGAAAUGGGUUGUGGAAAAUGCACUAGAAUCAACAAGCAUGGGGACUAAUUCAACUCGGAUACCAUGUCUUCAGAGAAGUUUUUCCUGCUCUCCUCUCCCUGUAGAAUUAAUUAUUCUUCCACCGUGCCACCCUCUAACUUGUGCUCAUAUCUGCCUCUAUUGUAGUUAUGUGUUUACAUCCCUGUUGUUUUUGUACCGGCUUCUCCCGAAGGGAAACAUUUAGUCUUAUUCUUCUUGGUAACUUUAGCACAGACCUGGCAGAUUGUUGACGCUCAACAAAUGUUCAUUGACUCAAAUGCGUUCAAUUAAACAUUGACCUUUGAUCAACUCUGGGAAAAGUCUGCAAAGCUAGUUAGGACACUCAGAAAUUCAUUUCAUUUCAAUCCUAACUAAAUAAAUUAUUGAAGUCUCAGAACUUCUCAGUACUUGACUUAGACACAUAGAAACUUGGGUAAAUAGCACCUAUAUUGUUAUAUUCCUCAAAAAAAAAAGUUUAUCUUUUCAUGAAAUGAAUCUACUGAGGAUAUUUAUAGAAAUUGAAUGUAAGUGAGCAGAAUAAAGUGGUGUGUGUGUGUGUGUGUGUGUGUGUGUGUGUAUGUAAUUUGAAGAGUAGGUGGGAAAAGGUUGUGACAGGAUAGCAGAUCUUGUUUAUGAUAGUCACUAGCUAUAGCAGACACUGCCUGAUGCCUUUCCAAUAUCCACUUCACUUUUCUUUUUUUCCUUUUUUUUUUGGAACAGAGUCUCACUCUGUCCCCCAGGCUGGAGUGCAAUGGCAUGAUCACGGCUUACUACAUCCUCUGCCUCCUGGGUUCGAGCAAUUUUCAUGCCUCAGCCUCCCUAGUAGCUGGGAUUACAGGCUCUCGCCACCACGCCCAGCUAAUUUUUGUGUUUUUAGUAGAGAUGAGGUUUUGCUAUGUUGGCCAGGCUAGUCUUGAACUCCUGACCUCAGGUGAUCCACCUGCCUCGGCCUCUCAAAGUGCUGGGAUUACAGGCAUGAGCCACCGUGCCUGGCUCUCUUUUCUUACUUAAUGUCUGUGUCAAUUAAAUAGAAGUGUAUCAAGUUAAAAACCUUGCUUCGGUAGCUUCCAGUGCAAAUAAAGGUACCCAUGCCACCCCAUUCUGGCCAACAGUAAAAUUGAUGGAAGCCUCUGGUUGGGCCUUCAAGGAAAGCUUUAUCAAAAGAUAAACUCACUGCCUUUGUCCCUUAGUUCAGUGGUCCCCAACCUUUUUGGCACCAAGAGACCAGUUUUGUGGAAGACAAUUUUUUCCAUGGACCAGGAGGGUGCCGGGGGAUGGUUUUGGGAUGAAACUGUUUCACCUUAGAUAUCAUCAGGCAUUCAGUUCUCAUAAGGAGCAUUCAGUUCUCAUAGAUCCCUUACAUGUGCAGUUCACAAUAGGGUUCAUGGUCCUAUGAGAAUCUAAUGCCACUGCUGAUCUGACAGGAGGCAGAGCUCAGGCAGUAAUGCUCACUGGUUCCACUGCUCACCUCCUGCUGUGCAGCCCAGUUCCUAACAGGCCACAGACCAGUACUGGUUCGCAGCCCAGGGUUUGGGGACCCCUGUCUUAGUUCCUUUGCCUUCCUUCCAGAUGGAUGCCUGGAGGAAUAAUCAUCCCGCAAUUGUGAAAAUUAAAGCCAUAUUUUAAAGUUGGUCUCAAUUGUAAUACCGAAGAAAUCUGGACCUUGAUGACAUUUGAGCUACAGUACUAAUCUUGAUCUUCCUAUUCAUGAGCUUGUUGCGAGAGACAAGUCUUUUACUGAUUUAACUCAUUGUUGGGAUUUCUUGGAACUAAACACAGUCAUAAUACAUUUUUUCCUUCCCAGGAAAAUGGUAGAGCAUGACUUUUCAAAUCUAAUAAAACUCAUGUGUAGCUAAAACCACUCUACUGAAACAAUUCCAUCUCAGCCCAUGGUACAAGGGAUUUUCCUGAAUGAAAAAUGGUGUCUGAUCAUUUUGUUGGUUUCUUUGUUGGUUUUUCCUGAAACUUAGGGUUAAAGAAUCCAGGAAAGUUGCCUUAGAUAGAGUUAUAAUUUCUGUGGACAUCAACUGAUAAAUGCAACUACAGUUUGUAUGCCUAGGUUUGGCAAAAAUCAUAUAAGCCACAUCCCUCACAUAAUAUUGUUUUAAUUAAAUUUUAUUUCUUUCUUGGUAUGAAACAUACUGCAGAAGCACAAUCAAUGAACAUUGGAUAGGUUCCUUAAAUCUUGCUGUUUGUCCUAUUUAUAUAAUUUCUUGUGUUAGUGGUUCUCAAGUGGUAUGCUCCUGCAACUCAUCAUCUGAAAAUCCUUCCCAGAUGUGCUGAAAAAUUUUCAUUAAUUUGAUAUUCUAUUUUAUUUUUAUAAAUAAGUACACAUGCUUGUGACUGGAAGAGAAAACACCCCUCGUUUAAUCCCAGAGGAAUAUUUGGCCUUGAUUCCUGCCCUGCUUACUCCACCCCAUUAUUAAGAUAGAGAUCGCUGAAGAAAUCCCUGCUCUAUAAAUGUAGCUGAUCCAAAAACAAAAUGGAAAUUCAUUAUUUUAAAGAUUUCUACAAGAUCUUGGUACAACUCUGUUUUUUUUUUUUUCCUAUUAAGAAUUACAUGAUUCUAGAAUAAGUUCCAACCCCAAGUAUCAACACUGGAACACAAUUUUAAAACAGGAGGCGAUUAUCUCUAUAGUGAGAUUUAACUACAGAGGUGAUAGCUCUGGUUAGUGAAUUUCAGGACUAGAAAUCAGGCCUGCUGUCUCUUAGCUUAGAGGAGGUAUAAUAAGAAGAGGAUUAGAACUAGUGUGUAUAUUAACAAGAAGAACUCUAUUAUGUUCAGCUAUCAUUAUAUAUGAUAUUAUGUUUCUUUUUAUGAACUAUAGUUCACUGUCUUUAAGCAUAAUGUUUGCCCAAGGUGGGGGUGUAGGUGUGUGUCUGUGUGUAUAUGCAUGUGUGCACAUAUGUGUAUGUAUAUUUGAUUCAUUCAUUCUGACCUACUGAAUUUACUGAAGGAAUGAGAAGAAAUACCUUGGACUGAGGGACCUGGCUUAGCUCAACAUCUGUACCAUCUACCUUUGAGUAUCCAUUCCUUUACUAUGAAGCAUGGAUGCUAAAACUAAAAUUGCAUUUGCUAAACUACUUUGUAGCUAGAUUCCUGGGUGAGAUUAGAUUUGGUCAAUUAGAUGUUCUUGUGUAACAUUUAGAAGGUGAUAGUAAGGUAAAGGUCAUGUGACUGGCUGAUUUUGUUUAUGUUCAAUGAUCUUUAUUGGGGUACACAUUAUAUAUAAUAAUAAAUAAUGCACACAUUUUAAGUGUACAAUUUGAUGAGUUCUGACAAAUUUAUAUGCAUAUAUAACCAGCAGCAAUAUCAAGAUAUAUAAUAAUCCCCUCAUUCCAGAAUAGUCUCUUGUGUUCUUUCCAGCCAAUGCCCCACCCCUGGAUUCUGGCAACAAUUCAUCUGCUUUUUAUUACCAUGGAUCAUAUUUGUCUUUCCUAGAGAUACAAAUCAAUGAAAUAAUGUAGUGUGUCCUCUUUAACUUUGGCUUGUUUCUCUCAGCACACUAUUUCUGAAAUUUGUCCAUACUGUUGAUAUGGCAGACAGAAUUUUAAGAUGGUUCCUAAAAUUCUUGCCUCCUGGUAUAUAUAAUUUUCUCUCAGUUUUCCAGUGAACACUAAUCUAGUGUAAUAUAUUGUAAAGGGAUUUCUCAAGUGUAAUUAAAGUCCCUAAUAAGUUUAUUUUAAGUUAGAAAAAUUUUCCCAGGUGAACUUGAGCUAAGUGAGUGACCUAAGCAGGUGAGUCAUUAGAAAAAAAUUAAGAGAUAUUUGAAGCAUAGACAAAAUUCUGUCGGCUUUUAAAAGAAAACUUCCAUGUGAUAGAGAAAGCCAGAUGAUAGGGAACACAAGGUUACCUCUAAAUUGACAACCAGCAAAAAAGCUGAGACUUCAGUCUUAUCAUCAUAAGGAAUUGAAUUCUGUCAAUAGCCACGUGACCUUAGAGGAGGACCCUGAGCUGCAGAUGAGAUCAUGGCCCUGGCCAAUACCUUAAAUUCAUCCUGGUGAGAUAUGAGCAGAGAACUCAGCUAUGCCAUGCUCAGAUUUCUCACCUGUAAAGCAGUGAAUUAAUAAGUGGACAUUAUUUGAAGCUGCUAAGUUUGUGGUGAUUUGUUACACACCAAGAGAAAACAUAUACUGUAUAUAUCAUUAGAUUUUUCCUUUAUAUUGGUGGGUGUAUUUGUUAUCUAUUACUUCCUAACAAAUUGACAAUAAUUAAGUGUCUUAAGACAACACAUAUUUAUUACCUCAUAGUUUCUGUGGGUCAGAAAUUUGGGCAUGGUUUAUGUGAGUUCUUUGAUUUAAAGUUGUUGGCAAGUCUGUAAACAAGGAAGCAGUCAGGACCGAGGUCUCAUCUGAAAGUCAACUUGGGAUGGAUCUGCUUCCAGCCUUACUUAACAUAACAGUUGGCAGGAUUCAGUUGCUCUGGGGUAGUUGGAUUGAUGGCCUCAGAUAACUAGGUAGCUAUUAGCUAGAUUUCACCCUCAGUUUGUUGCCAUGUGGGCCUCCCCAAGGUGGCAAUUUACUUCAUCAAAACCAGCAAGGGAGAGAGUCGGCUACAAUCUCUAGUAAUAUAGCUACAGAAAUGACAUCCCCUUAGCAAUGAGAUAUUUUAUUAAUUAGAAAGAAAUUACUCAACAGGAGGGGAUUGCACAAUGUAGUGAAUACCAGGAGGCUGAGAUCAGAAGGAGCUAGUUUAGAAGCUGCCUACCACAGUGAGUAGUAUUCUAUUACAUGAAUAUACUAGAAUGUCUGUAUCCACCCAACUGGGCAUAGACAUUUGUGUUCAUUCAAGAUACGGACUAUUAUGAUUUUAAAAAUAAAAGUUAGUAUGAACAUUUAAGUAUAAGCUUUUGUGUAGGCAUGUUUCAUUUGUUUUGAAUGAAAUUGCAGGGUCACAUAGAAAAUGCAUAUUUAAUCUUAUAAGAAACUGCUUAAAAUGCUUUACAAAGUGAUUUUACCAUUUUACACUCCCAACAAUGUAUAGCAAUAUAUCAUAGACCUAGUGGUUUCAUAUCUCCACAAACACUUGAUAUUGUCACUCAGUUUAAUUGUAGCUAUUUAAAUAGGCUUAUAAUGGUACUCGUUAUGAUUUUAAUAUGCAUUUCCCUAAUGCUUAUUAGGGACUAAUUAUGUUAAGCAUCUUUUCAUGUAUUUAGAGGCCAUUUGUGUAUCUUCAUUUGUAAAAUAUCUGUUUAAGUAGCUUGCCCAUUUGGAUUGCUUUACAUUUUAUUACAGAGUUAUAAGAGUCCUUUAUAUAUUCUGAAUAUGACUCUUUUAUCAGACAUACAUAUAUAUCAAAUAUUUUUUUCUAAGUUUGUGGCUUGUGUUUUUACUUUUUAUACUGUUUAUUGAAUAGUAGAUUUUAUAUUCAUUUUAUCCAUUCUUCUGAUAUGAUUGAUACUUUUUGAACUAUGAAAAUGUUGCUAUGUAAAAAUAAAAAAUAUAUUUUCAUCCUGAGUUUCAUAAUUUUAGCUUUCGCCCUUGUGUCUGUGAUUCAUUCUGAGUUAUUUUCUUGUAUAGUUUAAAGUCAAAGUGGGUGUUUGUUUGCUUAUUAAUUAUUUAUAGAUAUUUCUAAUUCUUUCUAGCACCGUUUAUUAAAAAGUCUCCUUUUUUACCCAUUGAAUUAUUUUGCUUAAAUUAUUAUGUCUAAAAUCAAAUUACCAAAUAUGCAUUGUCUAUUUUGAACUAUUUAUUCUGUUUCAUUGAUUUUUAUGUGUUCCUUUACACCAAUAUCAUUGUCUUAAUUACUGUAGAUUUGUUGGAAAUAUGGGAGUCAAAUUUAAGGAUUUCAAUUUUGUCCUUUUAUCAGGUUGUUUUGGUUGUUCUAGGUCCUUUGUAUUUCCCUAUAACAUUUGGAAUUAGGUUGUCAAUAUCUCCCCAAAAUAAAGCCUGCUGGGAUUUUGAACAGGAUUGUAUGGAAUCUAUAAAUCAAUUUAGUGAGAAUUAAUAACUUAUAUUAAGUACUCUAAUUGAUGAACAUAGUAUCAUCUUCCAUUUAUUUAGGUCUUUGACUUCUCAGAAAUGUUUUAUAGUUUUCAGUGUGUAGAUCUUGAAGUUUGUAAAAUUCUAAGUGUGUUAUGGUUUUGACUGUAAUUGUAAAUACCUCCCAUUGUUCAUUGUUAGUACAUAGAAAUAAAACAAACUUUGUAUUAAUUUUUUCUUAUGCAAUCUUCUAUAUUCACUUCUUUCCAAUAGUUUUAUGUGGAAUUCUUAGAAGCUUCCACUUACAUCAUCAUGUCAUUUGGUAAUUAAAACAAUUUUACAUCCUUU
This is a long non-coding RNA of Pongo pygmaeus (Bornean orangutan), 7113 nucleotides long. RefSeq lists it as uncharacterized. The transcript is spliced from 3 exons. Lineage: Eukaryota; Metazoa; Chordata; Mammalia; Primates; Hominidae. The record is from RefSeq and is a predicted model, not a curated record.